RNAcentral lists this ribosomal RNA (500 nucleotides) under uncultured bacterium. Its description in RNAcentral is "partial 16S ribosomal RNA". It matches the Rfam family "Bacterial small subunit ribosomal RNA", at positions 30 to 523 of the family's 1533-position model. The record is from RNAcentral.
AUUGAACACUGGCGGAAUGCUUUACACAUGCAAGUCGAACGGCAGCACGGACUUCGGUCUGGUGACGAGUGGCGAACGGGUGAGUAAUGUAUCGGAACGUGCCCAGGCGUGGGGGAUAACGUAGUGAAAAUUACGCUAAUACCGCAUACGAUCUAUGGAUGAAAGCGGGGGAUCGCAAGAACUCGCGCGAUUAGAGCGGCCGAUAUCAGAUUAGGUAGUUGGUGGGGUAAAGGCCCACCAAGCCAACGAUCUGUAGCUGGUCUGAGAGGACGACCAGCCACACUGGAACUGAGACACGGUCCAGACUCCUACGGGAGGCAGCAGUGGGGAAUUUUGGACAAUGGGCGAAAGCCUGAUCCAGCCAUUCCGCGUGCAGGAUGAAGGCCCUCGGGUUGUAAACUGCUUUUGUACAGAACGAAAAGGUUUCUACUAAUACUAGGAGCUCAUGACGGUACUGUAAGAAUAAGCACCGGCUAACUACGUGCCAGCCGCCGCCGUAA